UGGAGCAUGUGGUUUAAUUCGAAGCAACGCGAAGAACCUUACCAGGCCUUGACAUGCAGAGAACUUUCCAGAGAUGGAUUGGUGCCUUCGGGAACUCUGACACAGGUGCUGCAUGGCUGUCGUCAGCUCGUGUCGUGAGAUGUUGGGUUAAGUCCCGUAACGAGCGCAACCCUUGUCCUUAGUUACCAGCACGUUAUGGUGGGCACUCUAAGGAGACUGCCGGUGACAAACCGGAGGAAGGUGGGGAUGACGUCAAAUCAUCAUGGCCCUUACGGCCUGGGCUACACACGUGCUACAAUGGUCGGUACAAAGGGUUGCCAAGCCGCGAGGUGGAGCUAAUCCCAUAAAACCGAUCGUAGUCCGGAUCGCAGUCUGCAACUCGACUGCGUGAAGUCGGAAUCGCUAGUAAUCGUGAAUCAGAAUGUCACGGUGAAUACGUUCCCGGGCCUU
Molecule: ribosomal RNA, 450 nt
Filed under: uncultured Pseudomonas sp.
Lineage: Bacteria; Pseudomonadati; Pseudomonadota; Gammaproteobacteria; Pseudomonadales; Pseudomonadaceae
Description: bacterial SSU rRNA
Rfam family: Bacterial small subunit ribosomal RNA
Source: RNAcentral